GCUGCAGUCAGGGAACAAACCCCUUGGCGCUAGGCGCUGCACAACUCAGAACAAAAAGAGAGGCCCUGCCCCAGAGAGCUUAGAAUUGGUUUCUUCGCGCUGAUCUGAAAAAGGCCCAGGUUCCGGAAUUCCAGGUUCUCCUGGCAGUUUACACACAAGUCUUGUCUACACAGGACUUCUUUGCCAAAGCUUUCCUGCCUUCACCUCUGGGUGCAGCUCCACAAACAGGAGCAACAAUGGGAACGCUUGUGUAGCCAAAGGGCCUGUGUCUAACCACCGCCUCACGCAGGGCGAGGCAACGCCAGGGCGUGAAGUACAGCUGGUUAAGCACUCAUCUCUGCGGCCAUUGGUGGAGACGGACCAGUUGUAGCAACAAUGGUCUUGUAACCUGCAAACCAGCUGUGUUUUCUGGUCAGGCGACAUGCGAGCGAAAAUCGUGGCCUGAAUCAGGAUCUAAAAGGGAAAGGGCUUCAUGGUCAGAUCCGGCCUCUCCCGUGCCCACCCCAGAAGCAGCUCUGCCGGUUACCUGUCACCAUGACGGUGCGGAUGUUUGCGCUCCUCAGCAGGUGGAUCACGGGGGCCGUCUCUGCCUUGAGGACGUUUCUCAUCACUAGGAAGCCAAGGAGAGUCAUUCCACUCUCUACGGCAUCCCUGCCAGGGCACAACAGGGCACUCGGCGUAAGUGUCGGAUGCCAGCACAAGGUUAGGGGAGUGAAUUAACCUGGCAGUUACUUUAGUGUCUGAUUCUUUAAAAGCCAUUUAGAUCUCCUAAUAGUCAUCGAUUCAGGUCAGAAGGCACCAUUGUGAGCAUCUAGCCUGACGUCCUAGAACACAGGCCAGAGAACCUCCGGGAAUUGAUUUUUGUUUCAGUGCUGACCCUAGAGCUAUGCCAACAAAUGAUUUUUCGGUUUGCCGAUAAUUCCAAACAAACAAACAAAAAUCAUUUUGGGUUGAAUGAAACA
Long non-coding RNA from Mauremys mutica (yellowpond turtle), 962 nucleotides. RefSeq lists it as uncharacterized. Lineage: Eukaryota; Metazoa; Chordata; Testudines; Geoemydidae. The transcript is spliced from 3 exons. The record is from RefSeq and is a predicted model, not a curated record.